Molecule: non-coding RNA, 60 nt
Filed under: Pediococcus claussenii
Lineage: Bacteria; Bacillati; Bacillota; Bacilli; Lactobacillales; Lactobacillaceae
Also listed under: 1 other name
Description: Fluoride sequence
Rfam family: Fluoride riboswitch aptamer (crcB RNA motif)
Source: RNAcentral
AUAACAACCAGCGAUGGUGUUCGCUGUAAAUAUCUGACGAUUGAUGACACCUGCUUCUGA